UUUCCGUAGGUGAACCUGCGGAAGGAUCAUUACAGUAGUCACCCAGGUUGCCGCAAGGCCUCCUGGGUAACCUACCACCCUUUGUUUAUUACACUUUGUUGCUUUGGCAAGCCUGCCCUCGGGCUGCUGGCUCCGGCCGGCGAGCGCUUGCCAGAGGACCUAAACUCUGUUUGUCUAUACUGUCUGAGUACUAUAUAAUAGUUAAAACUUUCAACAAUGGAUCUCUUGGUUCUG
Molecule: unclassified non-coding RNA, 234 nt
Filed under: plant metagenome
Description: partial contains small subunit ribosomal RNA, internal transcribed spacer 1, and 5.8S ribosomal RNA
Source: RNAcentral